GGGAGUCCCAGUGUAGUUUUCACACCAUGACCGGGUGGUUUCUAGUUACGCCUCUGGUUGCGGUGUAUCAUCUGAUGCACAAAUACAGAGGCAGGGUCAAACACUCAGCCCAGGCAUUGUAAGGCAGAUCAGCCCAUAAGGAGGAGGCAUGUUGUGUCAUCAUUGACUUGCGCACAUCCCACUCUUGCACACAAAGAGUUUGAUGCCUCUCCAGGGCACCCUAUGCACAGGCCCUGCUGAAGAGUUCUCGCAUGGGGCCCAGGGACGGCCUUCCAAACAACACUCACCAUAAUAGCAGCCCUUGUUACAGCCAAAGCAGCUCAUCCCUAAUACCAUGCCAAUCUGCUCUGGAAACAGAGCUACUCACAGACCGCACUCAGUGAGCAGCAUUAGCUGAGGUUCCUGCACAGAAUCUAUCAAUAUGCUAGUCACAUUCACUUUUUGCAGUUGGGUCCCAGAAUGGGUGACCACCUGCCCUAGGGUAAUCAUUCCUCCCCCCCAUAUCAGCUAGUGUCGCAAGUUCCUUACAUGGAGUGUUUAAGAAACAUUCAUAUGAAAGUUUCAAAAGUGGCAUAUUCUCUAAUGUCCUGGCUGUUCUUUCACUCUAGACACAGACUAGUAUUGUAUUAGGGUCAUACAUCCCUGUGUGCCAUCAUGUGGCUAUGGUAUUUUUGCCCAUAGGCAGAGUAAGGUUGCCCAAAGCUCAAGGUAGGGUGCCAGAUUUGUAUCCUCUCCUAGAGCUCUGGGUUAUCUUUCUGUGAGAUGUGUCUUGUGAAGGCCCUGGUGUUUUAUGGGACCCCUCUAGAGUGGCCAAAAGGUAGAUCCCAUCUGUGGCUACUCACUGUUAAAAAAAAAAAAAAAAAGUGUCCCCCCUCCCGAGCCCCCACCCGUGCCGCGCGAGUGGGAGCUUUUAAACUGAAGGGGGCGGGUGGGGGCUCUAAUUCAGAUAAAAAGGGGGGGACCUAUUGUCCUCCCCCCGGCCCCACUCCUGAG
Non-coding RNA from Pelobates cultripes (western spadefoot toad), 993 nucleotides. NCBI's taxonomy places the organism in Eukaryota, Metazoa, Chordata, Amphibia, Anura, Pelobatidae. The record is from the annotation of a GenBank genome assembly.